Long non-coding RNA from Suricata suricatta (meerkat), 1421 nucleotides. RefSeq lists it as uncharacterized. The record is from RefSeq and is a predicted model, not a curated record. Lineage: Eukaryota; Metazoa; Chordata; Mammalia; Carnivora; Herpestidae. The transcript is spliced from 3 exons.
AUCCAUCCAUCCAUCUACCAUCCAUCCAUUCCCACCCAUAUUCAUCCAUCCAUCCCUCCAUCCACCCCUCUACCAGACAAACUGCAUGGAAAGCUCUAGCAUACUUCCUGGGACCAGGAGGGGCUGCAUAAAUGAUAGCUAUUAUUGUAUUAGCUCAACUUUAUUGAAAUAUACUUUGACAAAGGUGCCCAUGAAUGUUACCAACACCACAGUCAUGAUAUGGGACAUUCCAUCCACUGCAAAAAGCCCCCGUGAUUUUCUGAAAUGCCCCCCACCCUCUGCCACCAUCACCCCUGGCCCCGGGCAACAGUGGGGGGCAUUCUGUCACCGUGGAUUGGAUCUGCCUUUCCUGGAACUGCACAUACACGGAAGCACACAGGACGCAACCUCUCACUUCUGGUUCAGCCUCCUGCCCCUGACAUUCACGGACAUGCUGCACCCCUCAGUGGCUCGCCCCUUGUUACUGCUGCCCGGUGCUCCCCCGGACAGAUUCAUCGAGACGCCUGAAUCCACGGGUUUAUAGUUUUUGUCAAAAUUGGAAAUUCUUUAGCCGUUAUUUCUUCAAUUAUUUGGUCCUCCCCCUCCUCCGGGAUCUCCCCCUCCCAACUUGGACAGCAAGUGUUUGCAGCUUUGGCUCAAAGGCUAUUUGAGCCCUGCUAAUAAGGCACGACCCUUUGGCAUCCCUGCUGCGUACCUGGGCGCUCAACAACCUGGUCACAACUCGAAUGUCUCCCAGCCCUGGGAACGGCUCACCUUACAGCCACCUGGCCACUCUGCCCACCUGGUGACAGUCCUCUACGCCUACGUGGCUUUGCAUCCAGCCAAAGGCUCAAAGGCGCCCCCACAUUGCUCUGUGAACUUGCUCUGCAUGGCGCCCUCCCCUCUGGAGUGCAGCCCCUCUACUCUGGACUCAGUUUCCUCUCCUUGUACAACGGCUCCAGAAACCGCGUCCGGGCACAAAGCUGGGCAUUCGCAGGGUCUCUGCCUUGUGUCCCUGGUCUUACUCUGAGGCAGCCCGUGCUCCAGGGCCUGGAAACAGUUGUCUCGUGUACUCUGUCCAGUUUUAUAGCUGUGCACGGAGGGUGGUAAGUGCAGCGCCAGUCGCUGCCCCCUGACAGAGCCACUGCUGUUGUUUUCAAAACCGAAGAUUGUCCAGAGGGGCUCCGUCCACUUACGGUGGUCACGCCCCCUCAUCUCUAUGCUGCGCGCACAGAAACUAUUUGAUGGUCCCAGUGGGAGUUUAGUGCAAACGUGGUGCAAGAGCACAGUGACCGUCAUCAGAAACAUUCCUUGUCACUGUCCCCCCACCUCUGCACCCCUGACAAUGAUGUAUCCGUUUCUGUCCCACACAAACGCCACAGCUACAGACAAGAGCUUUGGGGACAACCCUCGGAAAGUGCCCUUGAAACACGGAGAAGAAA